GAAUACACAUAUUAUCUUCUAGAUAAUAUCUAUACUCAAAUAAAUCCUCAUCACAUUUAUUGAUACAUUAUUUUACAAAAAUUGUGAGGACUACUAAACAACUCUCUCUAGAACCUUCAUUCCAUACCCCGACUCGUACUCGCUAUAUUAUCGCCUUCUGAGAAGAAAAUGGAACAAAAAGGAAAAGGGUGAGCUCAACUAGCCCAGUAAAGAAUAUUAUGACUAAGAUAAUAUACAACAAAUUAUCGUUAGUCUUCAACAGGGAAAAAUCUAAUAGAAUACAAUAGACAACAAGUUUUAAAUCAAUAUUCGCAGCGGAAAUAAUAAUUCAUUAGAAGAGUUAAGUAGAGAA
RNAcentral lists this long non-coding RNA (352 nucleotides) under Panax ginseng (ginseng). RNAcentral describes it as "long non-coding RNA (PGIN_LNC011773)". Lineage: Eukaryota; Viridiplantae; Streptophyta; Magnoliopsida; Apiales; Araliaceae. The record is from RNAcentral.